Non-coding RNA from Echria macrotheca, 103 nucleotides. Lineage: Eukaryota; Fungi; Ascomycota; Sordariomycetes; Sordariales; Schizotheciaceae. The record is from the annotation of a GenBank genome assembly.
GGCACUAUGGCCGAGCGGUCUAAGGCGCCGUCUUCAGGUUCUCCUUCUAGAGAUCAUGAUUUGGCGGUCCGAAAGGGCGUGGGUUCGAAUCCCACUGGUGUCA